RNAcentral lists this ribosomal RNA (497 nucleotides) under uncultured bacterium. RNAcentral describes it as "partial 16S ribosomal RNA". It matches the Rfam family "Bacterial small subunit ribosomal RNA", at positions 28 to 507 of the family's 1533-position model. The record is from RNAcentral.
GAUGAACGCUGGCGGCGUGCCUAAUACAUGCAAGUCGAGCGAACAGACGAGGAGCUUGCUCCUCUGACGUUAGCGGCGGACGGGUGAGUAACACGUGGAUAACCUACCUAUAAGACUGGGAUAACUUCGGGAAACCGGAGCUAAUACCGGAUAAUAUAUUGAACCGCAUGGUUCAAUAGUGAAAGACGGUUUUGCUGUCACUUAUAGAUGGAUCCGCGCCGCAUUAGCUAGUUGGUAAGGUAACGGCUUACCAAGGCAACGAUGCGUAGCCGACCUGAGAGAGUGAUCGGCCACACUGGAACUGAGACACGGUCCAGACUACUACGGGAGGCAGCAGUAGGGAAUCUUCCGCAAUGGGCGAAAGCCUGACGGAGCAACGCCGCGUGAGUGAUGAAGAUCUUCGGAUCGUAAAACUCUGUUAUUAGGGAAGAACAAAUGUGUAAGUAACUAUGCACGUCUUGACGGUACCUAAUCAGAAAGCCACGGCUAACUACGUG